This 3751-nucleotide long non-coding RNA is filed under the name Sus scrofa (pig). RNAcentral's name for it is "lncRNA (ENSSSCG00050009443.1)". The record is from RNAcentral. Lineage: Eukaryota; Metazoa; Chordata; Mammalia; Artiodactyla; Suidae.
CAGGCCACUGCACAAAGUUUUUUCUGUGCCAGCAAAAAUUGCCCUGAGCUCUUUUGUAAACAUGGGGUGAAGGCCCGGACAUGCCGUUUAACAGGUACACAGACCAUUAACUGCGCCUAUGACCUCCCUGGAGCAUGUGCAGCCCUGGCGCCUUAUGUCUGUCCUGGACAAGACUUCUUUCAGGGUUUCCUGCCCACCUCACCUGUUCAGGGGCUUGGUUUGGAAACCUGAGCUGAGGCGCAAGGGUUAGGGGUGGCCAAGAGAGGGCAGAAAGAAUGGAAAUUUCUCUUCUGUUUCUAAAGGUCUGUAAGUCAACCAACUCUCUCUUGUAAAAACCAACCUACAAACAAGUCACUGAACAUAAUAAAAGGAGAGUGGGUGUGGGGGCAGGGGGCAGGUCCAUUAACUCUAGUCAGGCAUCAGAAUUACCUGAGCUACUUCUAACGAAUUCAGGUUCCCAGGCCUGGAUGCCAAAUCCUUGGGGGUGGAGCUUAGGAAUCUGUACUUUUAAAAGUUUUCUCUUGCAAGUUUUUUAAAAAAUAUAUUAAAAUUGAGGUAUAAUUUGCAUUCAGUGAAAUGCAAAGAUUGUGUUACUAUUUAUUGAGUCUUGCGCAUUUAUAGAUCUUUCAUCCUUUUAUUGCAGAGGAGUAAGGCCAUUGCAUGGAUGCCCCAUAGUUUGUUUAUCCACUCUCCUGUGCAUGAACAUUUGGGUUGUUUCCAGUUUGGGGUGAUUGUAAAUGAAGCUUCCAUGAGCCUUUGUGUACAAGUCUCUUUGUGGGCGGAUAGUUUCAUUUCUUUAGGAGUGGAACUGCUGGGAUGUAGGGUGGGUAAUUUGCUAGCUUUAUGAGAAACUGUCAAAGAGUAUCUUUUAAUUACAAAACAGUAGACCUCAAACAAUACAAAACUGUACAAAUUAAAAACAAUUCAUAGUCUAAUCCUCAGUCUGUGUGAUCAUCUGUCAUCUAUCACCUACCUCUUCCUAUAAUAACAAUAAAGAUCUUUAAGAUUAUACAUUGUCCUCUGCAUACAGCUUUAACUGUAUCCCUCAGCUAUCUAGGUGGACAGAUAUUCCUUUUAAUCACUUUUUAGAUCGCUUUUGAUUUCCUUUUUGAUCCAGGGGUUAAUUAAGAUCUGUUGGGCAAGCUAGCCAUAGUGCUGUUUUGUUGGUAACAAACUGUUCUUGGUUCUGCUACUUAUCCUAUUCAAACAACAGACUAUUGUGGACAGGUCAUUUGUCAGAACAUACAGAUCUGCCUAGCCAUUCUGAACAGCUAUCCUGCACUGGGGAAUCAAUGACUAAGUCUGGCCUGACUUAAUCACCCUGAGUGCCACCAGCUCAGUGAGUGAAACACGCCUACCUUAUGGCUUUGAGUUUGCCUCGAAGGUGAACAGAGAAACAUCCCAAGGCCACUCAGGAUUCUGAGAUGGGAAGGAACCCAUAUUUACUCAUCACAUCCCCGCCCUGCAUUUAAGCCCUGUGCCUAGCUGGGGGGUCCUCACCUUCAUCUUCUAGGUGAGUUCAUCCAGUCUCAGAAAAGUGACUUACCACCCUUACACGGCAGGGACCUGGGAAGGAGAACCAGAACCAGGGCCCAGCCACGUUCCACUGCAGGUGUCAGGCAUAGGGCCACAGCCAGAGGAAGGGAUGGGGAGAUAAAACAGCCCUUGGGCUCAAGUAGCUCAGGGAGGGGAGAAGAGCUGUAUCAGGGCUGUUAAAUGAAGAAUCCCAAGGGAAGGUGUAAGGGAGGAGGGCCCAAUGGCUGGGAGUGUGGGGAUUUGGGAUCAUUCAUUUAAGCCUCCUUGCCCACCCCCUUCAUGGAUGAAGAGACUGAGGUCUGAGUGAAGCAUGGAUCAACAAGAGGGCCUUGUUCACAAACUUGUUCUCCCUACCUGCCUGCCGUUCAGGGCCCAUGUUAAACAGGUGAAGUGGAGGACGGUGUUUUUACUUCUUGUCUCAGACUUCUGAUGACUCUUCACGACUCUCAGAUCCUGAUUGUAUCAUAGCAGUGGGCCAGGGGUAAAAGGGCAAAGCUGUACUGAUCUGAAAGAUCCCUAGGGCUUGGCUGUGCAAGGGCCGCCUGCGAGUUCUGGACCCGAUAUUCCUGGACUGCAGGGCUGCCUGCUCAGGGAGGAGCCUGGCUCCUAGCUCUGGUGGAAUCAAACUGGGGCAGUUGUGAGAAUGCUGGUGAGCCUCCCUGCUGGAGUGUGGGACAGCUGCAUUCUUCUGGUUCCGCCCAUCUUGGGUCCCCCCGGCCACACACUGCCCCUCAACUUUGCCCUCUGAGCCCAUAGCUCCGAGGUUGGGACCACAUCCCUGCUGGGUCCCUCGUGUGGACAUUCUGAGAGUUUACCCCUUCUCACCACUCUCCUUUGCAUCCACCAUCCCCUUUCCUGCAGAAAGUCCUUCACUCAGCCAGAUUGCCCGUCCCCUGGUGGCAGGGUGGAGCAGUGGGGUGGGGUUGGCCUUGGGUUUCAGCAUUGUCAUGCUUAGUGGGGGAAGGACUCCAGAAGGGGGGGUGGUCCUGAAGCCUCUGCCCUUUUACUCCCUAGCCAGAUGGCACCUGGAUGCCUUGUCUAUUCAGUCCUGAUGGUGGACUCAGGCCGUGAUUUUAAGGACAUUUGUGCUAUCUCCAGGUGGAUGCCACCCACAACCCAAGACAACAGCUCCUCACAGCCUCCAUGCCUCCUGGGGUCAGCUCUCAGCAUGUCACUGUCCUGCUCCCCAGUCCUCGGUGGCUCCCUAGUGCUUUGUGAAAUCAAGGACUAACUCCACAGCCUGGUGUUCGAAGCCCUUCAUAAUCUGGCUCCUGGCCAGUGUUGCUUCUCACCUGCCACCACUUCUCUCUGCUCCUUGUCCUCUGGCUGGCUCUGCUCCUGGACCGAGCCUGUACCCCUGCCUGAGAGCCCCUCCCCUCCUCCUUCCCACUAUCAAGGGUCUGUUUGCGCUGCUUCCUGUAGCCUCCCUUGAGCCCCAAGUGGUGCCAGGCAUGUAGUGAGCACUCAGCAAAGGUUAUCUGGGUGUGAGUGGACUUAAGCUCCUCCCUGCUCUGAGCCUCUGUGGUCCUUUUAUCCAGCCACCUCAGGCACCUCAGGGGAGUGACAGAUGCCUAGAAUCCAGCACUACCUGGCACUCUGUGGUGCUCAGAGCACCAAUAAAGGCCAUCUCAUUCCCUCUGUCCUGAAAUGAGAGCCUAUAGUUGGAACAUCUGAGUGGGACCAGGUUUGGAAGUUGUGUGCAGCCAGCACCAUCCAUCUAUCCAACCAAUAUUUGUUCUAGACCCUGUUCUAAGCUCUGGGGAUGUGACAGGUGAACAAGACAGACCAAUUCAGGCCCUCAUGGAGCUGACCACGGAACGGAUGAAUGAGUUAUCACAGGGCACUGAAAUCCUUGGCCACUGGCUUGCUGUGUGACCGAGGCAAGCCCUUUCCUCUCUCUGGUCCUGACCUGGAAGGAAACUUCGUGUUGGAGAGAAAUUGCUGCUGAGUGAAGCAGGGGAAAGACCCUUCUCUCUGUUAGGGGGCAUACGUCAUCCAUUAACCCUGUGCUGCUCUGUGGCCCCCUUUAAGGAUUCCCAAUGUAGUCCUGUUGGUUUUCAGGAUGUUUUGGCCUUUGCUCUGUAAGGGGGCACCAGAUUUGGGGAUUGACGCUCAGAGGUGCUCUGAGCAGAGCUAUAGCAAUGGGCUUUUAAUGAAAAACACUUCCUUGGGUUUUUAUUCCAUUAUUGGUAGAAGAGUAUAGAUCACAAUAGAC